GCGAGCCGUAUACAUUGAAAGGUGUACGUACGGUUCUGAGGGAGGCAGGCGGAUGGUUUAAUUACCUGUCGACCCUAC
RNAcentral lists this non-coding RNA (78 nucleotides) under Amphibacillus marinus. Lineage: Bacteria; Bacillati; Bacillota; Bacilli; Caryophanales; Bacillaceae. The record is from RNAcentral.